GGGGAUGUAGCUCAGAAAAGAUCAGAGCGCUGUUUCUGCAAGACAGAGGCAGGGGUGCGAAGCCCCUCAUCUCCAC
This 76-nucleotide transfer RNA is filed under the name Reticulibacter mediterranei. RNAcentral's name for it is "tRNA-Ala". It matches the Rfam family "tRNA". From Rfam's summary of the family: Transfer RNA (tRNA) molecules are approximately 80 nucleotides in length. Lineage: Bacteria; Bacillati; Chloroflexota; Ktedonobacteria; Ktedonobacterales; Reticulibacteraceae. The record is from RNAcentral.